RNAcentral lists this ribosomal RNA (497 nucleotides) under uncultured bacterium. RNAcentral describes it as "partial 16S ribosomal RNA". It matches the Rfam family "Bacterial small subunit ribosomal RNA", at positions 28 to 507 of the family's 1533-position model. The record is from RNAcentral.
GAUGAACGCUGGCGGCGUGCCUAAUACAUGCAAGUCGAGCGAACAGACGAGGAGCUUGCUCCUCUGACGUUAGCGGCGGACGGGUGAGUAACACGUGGAUAACCUACCUAUAAGACUGGGAUAACUUCGGGAAACCGGAGCUAAUACCGGAUAAUAUAUUGAACCGCAUGGUUCAAUAGUGAAAGACGGUUUUGCUGUCACUUAUAGAUGGAUCCGCGCCGCAUUAGCUAGUUGGUAAGGUCACGGCUUACCAAGGCGACGAUGCGUAGCCGACCUGAGAGGGUGAUCGGCCACACUGGAACUGAGACACGGUCCAGACUCCUACGGGAGGCAGCAGUAGGGAAUCUUCCGCAAUGGGCGAAAGCCUGACGGAGCAACGCCGCGUGAGUGAUGAAGGUCUUCGGAGCGUAAAACUCUGUUAUUAGGGAAGAACAAAUGUGUAAGUAACUAUGCACGUCUUGACGGUACCUAAUCAGAAAGCCUCGGCUAACUACGUG